AGAGUUUGAUUCCUGGCUCAGAUUGAACGCUGGCGGCAUGCUUUACACAUGCAAGUCGAACGGUAACAGGUCUUCGGAUGCUGACGAGUGGCGAACGGGUGAGUAAUACAUCGGAACGUGCCUAGUAGUGGGGGAUAACUACUCGAAAGAGUAGCUAAUACCGCAUGAGAUCUACGGAUGAAAGCAGGGGACCUUCGGGCCUUGUGCUACUAGAGCGGCUGAUGGCAGAUUAGGUAGUUGGUGGGGUAAAGGCUUACCAAGCCUGCGAUCUGUAGCUGGUCUGAGAGGACGACCAGCCACACUGGGACUGAGACACGGCCCAGACUCCUACGGGAGGCAGCAGUGGGGAAUUUUGGACAAUGGGCGAAAGCCUGAUCCAGCAAUGCCGCGUGCAGGAUGAAGGCCCUCGGGUUGUAAACUGCUUUUGUACGGAACGAAAAGCCUGGGGCUAAUAUCCCCGGGUCAUGACGGUACCGUAAGAAUAAGCACCGGCUAACUACGUGCCAGCAGCCGCGGUAAUACGUAGGGUGCAAGCGUUAAUCGGAAUUACUGGGCGUAAAGCGUGCGUAGGCGGUUUUGUAAGACAGUGGUGAAAUCCCCGGGCUCAACCUGGGAACUGCCAUUGUGACUGCAAAGCUAGAGUGCGGCAAAGGGGGAUGGAAUUCCGCGUGUAGCAGUGAAAUGCGUAGAUAUGCGGAGGAACACCGAUGGCGAAGGCAAUCCCCUGGGCCUGCACUGACGCUCAUGCACGAAAGCGUGGGGAGCAAACAGGAUUAGAUACCCUGGUAGUCCACGCCCUAACGAUGUCAGCUGGGUUGUUGGGUCUUAACUGACUCAGUAACGAAGCUAACGCGUGAAGUUGACCGCCUGGGGAGUACGGCCGCAAGGUUGAACUCAAGGAAUUGACGGGACCCGCACAAGCGGUGGAUGAUGUGGUUUAAUUCGAUGCAACGCGAAACUUACCCACCUUUGACAUGGCAGACUACAGAGAUGGUUUGGGCUCGGAAGGAGACUGCAACAGGUGCUGCAUGCUGUCGUCAGGCUCGUGUUCUGUGGAGU
This 1059-nucleotide ribosomal RNA is filed under the name uncultured Comamonas sp. RNAcentral describes it as "bacterial SSU rRNA". It matches the Rfam family "Bacterial small subunit ribosomal RNA", at positions 8 to 1075 of the family's 1533-position model. The record is from RNAcentral. Lineage: Bacteria; Pseudomonadati; Pseudomonadota; Betaproteobacteria; Burkholderiales; Comamonadaceae.